CGAACGCCGGCGGCAGGCCUAACACAUGCAAGUCGAGCGCCCCGCAAGGGGAGCGGCAGACGGGAGAGUAACACGUGGGAACGUACCCUUUGGUUCGGAACAACCCAGGGAAACUUGGGCUAAUACCGAAUAAGCCCUUACGGGGAAAGAUUUAUCGCCGAAGGAUCGGCCCGCGUCUGAUUAGCUAGUUGGUGAGGUAACGGCUCACCAAGGCGACGAUCAGUAGCUGGUCUGAGAGGAUGAUCAGCACAUUGGGACUGAGACACGGCCCAAACUCCUACGGGAGGCAGCAGUGGGGAAUAUUGGACAAUGGGCGCAAGCCUGAUCCAGCCAUGCCGCGUGAGUGAUGAAGGCCCUAGGGUUGUAAAGCUCUUUUGUGCGGGAAGAUAAUGACGGUACCGCAAGAAUAAGCCCCGGCUAACUUCGUGCCAGCAGCCGCGGUAAUACGAAGGGGGCUAGCGUUGCUCGGAAUCACUGGGCGUAAAGGGUGCGUAGGCGGGUCUUUAAGUCAGGGGUGAAAUCCUGGAGCUCAACUCCAGAACUGCCUUUGAUACUGAGGAUCUUGAGUUCGGGAGAGGUGAGUGGAACUGCGAGUGUAGAGGUGAAAUUCGUAGAUAUUCGCAAGAACACCAGUGGCGAAGGCGGCUCACUGGCCCGAUACUGACGCUGAGGCACGAAAGCGUGGGGAGC
RNAcentral lists this ribosomal RNA (690 nucleotides) under uncultured soil bacterium. RNAcentral's name for it is "bacterial SSU rRNA". It matches the Rfam family "Bacterial small subunit ribosomal RNA", at positions 30 to 769 of the family's 1533-position model. The record is from RNAcentral.